RNAcentral lists this ribosomal RNA (467 nucleotides) under uncultured bacterium. Its description in RNAcentral is "partial 16S ribosomal RNA". It matches the Rfam family "Bacterial small subunit ribosomal RNA", at positions 28 to 506 of the family's 1533-position model. The record is from RNAcentral.
GACGAACGCUGGCGGCGUGCUUAACACAUGCAAGUCGAACGGAAAGGCCCUGCUUUUGUGGGGUGCUCGAGUGGCGAACGGGUGAGUAACACGUGAGUAACCUGCCCUUGACUUUGGGAUAACUUCAGGAAACUGGGGCUAAUACCGGAUAGGAGCUCCUGCUGCAUGGUGGGGGUUGGAAAGUUUCGGCGGUUGGGGAUGGACUCGCGGCUUAUCAGCUUGUUGGUGGGGUAGUGGCUUACCAAGGCUUUGACGGGUAGCCGGCCUGAGAGGGUGACCGGCCACAUUGGGACUGAGAUACGGCCCAGACUCCUACGGGAGGCAGCAGUGGGGAAUAUUGCACAAUGGGCGGAAGCCUGAUUCAGCAACGCCGCGUUCGGGAUGACGGCCUUCGGGUUGUAAACCGCUUUCGCCUGUGACGAAGCGUGAGUGACGGUAAUGGGUAAAGAAGCACCGGCUAACUACGU